AAAAUAUAAUGCGAAAAACAAAUAAGUGCAAAAAUAAAAUAAAUUGUAAAAACACAUUAAAACAUAAAAAUAAGUAAAGCAAACCGAAGAAAUGCUUAAGUACAAACAUGGAAGAACGUGCAUCAAAAUGCACUGAUCAAAUUCUCCCACACUUGAACUUUUGCACUCCGAGCAAAACGAAAAACAAAACAAAGAAAGCACAAAUACAUCAUCAGUUACUCAUCCUAGGCUACAAG
This 236-nucleotide long non-coding RNA is filed under the name Lathyrus oleraceus (garden pea). RNAcentral describes it as "Pisum sativum (pea) long non-coding RNA (PSAT_LNC000928)". The record is from RNAcentral. Lineage: Eukaryota; Viridiplantae; Streptophyta; Magnoliopsida; Fabales; Fabaceae.